UCUGGUGGUUGAAGCGGGGUGGUACCACCCGUUCCCAUCCCGAACACGGUCGUGAAACGCCCCAGCGCUGACGAUACUGCCCCGGCAACGGGGUGGGAAAAUAGGUCACUGCCAGGA
This 117-nucleotide ribosomal RNA is filed under the name Dehalococcoidia bacterium. Lineage: Bacteria; Bacillati; Chloroflexota; Dehalococcoidia. The record is from RNAcentral.